GAUGAACGCUGGCGGCGUGCCUAAUACAUGCAAGUCGAGCGAACAGACGAGGAGCUUGCUCCUCUGACGUUAGCGGCGGACGGGUGAGUAACACGUGGAUAACCUACCUAUAAGACUGGGAUAACUUCGGGAAACCGGAGCUAAUACCGGAUAAUAUAUUGAACCGCAUGGUUCAAUAGUGAAAGACGGUUUUGCUGUCACUUAUAGAUGGAUCCGCGCUGCAUUAGCUAGUUGGUAAGGUAACGGCUUACCAAGGCAACGAUGCGUAGCCGGCCUGAGAGGGUGAUCGGCCACACUGGAACUGAGACACGGUCCAGACUCCUACGGGAGGCAGCAGUAGGGAAUCUUCCGCAAUGGGCGAAAGCCUGACGGAGCAACGCCGCGUGAGUGAUGAAGGUCUUCGGAUCGUAAAACUCUGUUAUUAGGGAAGAACAAAUGUGUAAGUAACUAUGCACGUCUUGACGGUACCUAAUCAGAAAGCCACGGCUAACUACGUG
Molecule: ribosomal RNA, 497 nt
Filed under: uncultured bacterium
Lineage: Bacteria
Description: partial 16S ribosomal RNA
Rfam family: Bacterial small subunit ribosomal RNA
Source: RNAcentral